UUGGCCGGCCAGUGCGGCGGCGCCACCGUGCCGGAACCCUAAACUUAUAUUUUUUUUACUUUUUUUCUCUAAACCUACUCUAUUCUUCCUUCCGGUUCCGAUUUUAUGUAUGAAAUUUUCAAAAUAGGCCCGGUUCCACCUAGAUCUAAAAGGGAAGAAAUUUUUUAUACCUUUUGAUUUUGAUUUGAUUUGGUUUCUUUCUGGCUGGUUCUGUGAUGUUGUGUGUGUGUGUCGUUGUGCGAUGCCGUGUUGUUGGUGUUGCGGUUCUGUGCGAUGUCGUGUGCUUCUGGCUUCUGUUGUGUGUGUGCGUUGUGUUGCGAUGCCGUCCUCUGUUUUUUCGUCCUUUCUUUGUGUUGUGCAGGUCUCUAUUUAUAGAGUGAGGUUGAGGCUAGGGUUUGUUUAAAAUCCGCAGAAAUUAGGUGAUUGGGAUGGAAUCGGAUGGAGACGCGUUUGUGUUCCUGGCUUUUUGGCGGAUGAGGCUUGAACUGGAUUUGGAUUGAGAUUGAGCAUACAGACUGUUUUUUUUGGAUUGGAAAAAAAACGUGUUUGUGCAUCUGGACCACCUUUUGGAUUUUUGACACUUUUGGAC
This 589-nucleotide long non-coding RNA is filed under the name Medicago truncatula (barrel medic). Its description in RNAcentral is "long non-coding RNA (MTRU_LNC002851)". The record is from RNAcentral. Lineage: Eukaryota; Viridiplantae; Streptophyta; Magnoliopsida; Fabales; Fabaceae.